Arabidopsis thaliana (thale cress) is the source of this 268-nucleotide RNA transcript. RefSeq lists it as uncharacterized. NCBI's taxonomy places the organism in Eukaryota, Viridiplantae, Streptophyta, Magnoliopsida, Brassicales, Brassicaceae. The record is from RefSeq. The transcript has 2 exons.
CUGAACUACUCACUAGAACAUCUAGGAUAGGAAGCUCAUUCUCUGGGGCUGUUCUUGACUGAAUUGGUUUGCUUCAGAUCUUUGCAUCGAGGGCCUAAGAUGAUAGACGUUUGGUCUGAUGGGGACGACACCUUUCACUGCUGACCCUGAUCAGUUAAGAUCUGCCUUGACUGAAUUCACACCAUCACAUUGUUAAGAUUCCUUUCCUGGAUCCUUAGCCGUCUCCACAGCUUAUCACAUUGUUAAGAUGAUGGAACACUUACUGACA